This 1380-nucleotide ribosomal RNA is filed under the name uncultured bacterium. Its description in RNAcentral is "bacterial SSU rRNA". It matches the Rfam family "Bacterial small subunit ribosomal RNA". The record is from RNAcentral.
AGAGUUUGAUCCUGGCUCAGGAUGAACGCUGGCGGCGUGCCUAACACAUGCAAGUCGAACGGACUUAAAUUGAAACCUAGUGAAGUUUAAGUUAGUGGCGGACGGGUGAGUAACGCGUGGAUAACCUGCCGUAUGCAGGGGGAUACCAACUGGAAACAGUUGCUAAUACCGCAUAAGCGCACAGUACCGCAUGGUAUAGUGUGAAAAGAUUUAUCGGCAUACGAUGAAUCCGCGUCCGAUUAGCCAGUUGGCGGGGUAGAAGCCCACCAAAGCGACGAUCGGUAGCCGGCCUGAGAGGGCGGACGGCCACAUUGGGACUGAGACACGGCCCAAACUCCUACGGGAGGCAGCAGUGGGGAAUAUUGCACAAUGGGGGGAGCCCUGAUGCAGCGACGCCGCGUGGGUGAAGGAGUACUUCGGCAUGUAAAGCCCUAUCGGCAGGGAAGAAGCAAGACGGUACCUGACUAAGAAGCCCCGGCUAACUACGUGCCAGCAGCCGCGGUAAUACGUAGGGGGCGAGCGUUAUCCGGAUUCACUGGGUGUAAAGGGAGCGUAGACGGCCAUGCAAGCCAGGGGUGAAAGCCCGGGGCCCAACCCCGGGACUGCCCUUGGAACUGCAUGGCUGGAGUGCGGGAGGGGCAGGCGGAAUUCCUGGUGUAGCGGUGAAAUGCGUAGAUAUCAGGAGGAACACCGGCGGCGAAGGCGGCCUGCUGGACCGCGACUGACGUUGAGGCUCGAAAGCGUGGGGAGCGAACAGGAUUAGAUACCCUGGUAGUCCACGCCGUAAACGAUGACUACUAGGUGUCGGGGGACGACAGUGCCCCGGUGCCGGCGCAAACGCAAUAAGUAGUCCACCUGGGGAGUACGUCCGCAAGGAUGAAACUCAAAGGAAUUGACGGGGACCCGCACAAGCGGUGGAGCAUGUGGUUUAAUUCGAAGCGACGCGAAGAACCUUACCCGGCCUUGACAUCCCCACGGAUGCAGGGCAAUGCCUACAGCCCCUCGGGGCGUGGGAGACAGGUGGUGCAUGGUUGUCGUCAGCUCGUGUCGUGAGAUAUUGGGUUAAGUCCCGCAACGAGCGCAACCCUUAUUUCUAGUUGCCAGCAGUAAGAUGGGGACUCUAGAGAGACUGCCAGUGACAAACUGGAGGAAGGUGGGGAUGACGUCAAAUCAUCAUGCCCCUUAUGUCUUGGGCUACACACGUGCUACAAUGGUCAGAACAGAGGGAAGCGAAGCCGCGAGGUGGAGCAAAUCCCAGAAAACUGAUCUCAGUUCGGAUUGCAGGCUGCAACCCGCCUGCAUGAAGUCGGAAUCGCUAGUAAUCGCGGGUCAGCAUACCGCGGCGAAUACGUUCCCGGGCCUUGCACACACCGCCCGUCA